UAGGGAAUCUUCGGCAAUGGGGGCAACCCUGACCGAGCAACGCCGCGUGAGUGAAGAAGGUUUUCGGAUCGUAACGCUCUGUUGUAAGAGAAGAACGUGUGUGAGAGUGGAAAGUUCACACAGUGACGGUAACUUACCAGAAAGGGACGGCUAACUACGUGCCAGCAGCCGCGGUAAUACGUAGGUCCCGAGCGUUGUCCGGAUUUAUUGGGCGUAAAGCGAGCGCAGGCGGUUUAAUAAGUCUGAAGUUAAAGGCAGUGGCUUAACCAUUGUUCGCUUUGGAAACUGUUAGACUUGAGUGCAGAAGGGGAGAGUGGAAUUCCAUGUGUAGCGGUGAAAUGCGUAGAUAUAUGGAGGAACACCGGUGGCGAAAGCGGCUCUCUGGUCUGUAACUGACGCUGAGGCUCGAAAGCGUGGGGAGCAAACAGG
RNAcentral lists this ribosomal RNA (429 nucleotides) under bacterium. RNAcentral's name for it is "partial 16S ribosomal RNA". It matches the Rfam family "Bacterial small subunit ribosomal RNA", at positions 355 to 776 of the family's 1533-position model. The record is from RNAcentral.